GAUGAACGCUGGCGGCGUGCCUAAUACAUGCAAGUCGAGCGAACAGACGAGGAGCUUGCUCCUCUGACGUUAGCGGCGGACGGGUGAGUAACACGUGGAUAACCUACCUAUAAGACUGGGAUAACUUCGGGAAACCGGAUCUAAUACCGGAUAAUAUAUUGAACCGCAUGGUUCAAUAGUGAAAGACGGUUUUGCUGUCACUUAUAGAUGGAUCCGCGCCGCAUUAGCUAGUUGGUAAGGUAACGGCUUACCAAGGCAACGAUGCGUAGCCGACCUGAGAGGGUGAUAGGCCACACUGGAACUGAGACACGGUCAAGACGCCUACGGGAGGCAGCAGUAGGGAAUCUUCCGCAAUGGGCGAAAGCCUGACGGAGCAACGCCGCGUGAGUGAUGAAGGUCUUCGGAUCGUAAAACUCUGUUAUUAGGGAAGAACAAAUGUGUAAGUAACUAUGCACGUAUUGACGGUACCUAAUCAGAAAGCCACGGCUAACUACGUG
RNAcentral lists this ribosomal RNA (497 nucleotides) under uncultured bacterium. RNAcentral's name for it is "partial 16S ribosomal RNA". It matches the Rfam family "Bacterial small subunit ribosomal RNA", at positions 28 to 507 of the family's 1533-position model. The record is from RNAcentral.